UUUUUCUCAGACUAGCCAUGCACGUCUAGUACAAACUAAAUGAUGGUGAAACUGCAAAUGGCUCAUUACAACGGUUAUGAUGUACCCGGGAGUUCCGAUGGAUAUUUCCAGUAACACUAGAACUAAUACAUGUCCCUGCGUUUAUUAGUUUCGCACAGUCCGUCGCUGAGUCAUGGUAAACAGUUGAUCGACUCGACGUCCCGGAACAGUUUCCGCCCCAUCAGCUUCGAUGGUUGGGUAUUGGCCUACCAUUGCAACAACGGGUAACGAGGAAUUAGGGUUUGAUUUCGGAGAGGGAGCCUGAGAAACGGCUACCACAUCUACGGAUGGCAGCAGGCGCGCAAAUUACCCAAUGCAGACACUGUGAGGUAGUGACGAGAAAUAAUAAAGCGGGACUUCUGUUUCGCUAUUAUAAUGAGGAAUAACCAAAGGUCAUUCCGAUUAGCAACUGAUGGGAAAGUCUGGUGCCAGCAGCCGCGGUAAUACCAGCGUCAGUAGCA
This 500-nucleotide ribosomal RNA is filed under the name uncultured Myrionecta. RNAcentral's name for it is "SSU rRNA". It matches the Rfam family "Eukaryotic small subunit ribosomal RNA", at positions 33 to 598 of the family's 1831-position model. The record is from RNAcentral. Lineage: Eukaryota; Ciliophora; Litostomatea; Cyclotrichida; Mesodiniidae.